Long non-coding RNA from Notothenia coriiceps (black rockcod), 276 nucleotides. RefSeq lists it as uncharacterized. The transcript has 3 exons. Lineage: Eukaryota; Metazoa; Chordata; Actinopteri; Perciformes; Nototheniidae. The record is from RefSeq and is a predicted model, not a curated record.
CAGUGAGGAAGGGGGUGUGUUUGGUGUCAGAAGUGGGAUUCGACCAAGUGAGGAGGUCAAAUUGACGAGAGGAAAGAAGAGGGACCAAAGAGAGGAACCGCGGCUGGGGGUGGCUAUGCCUGGAACUGACCAGGGGGCCACGGCUGCUGAAGCAGCAGGAGACGAGAGACAAGCAGCAGGAGACGAGAGACAAGCAGGAGGAGACGAGAGACAAGCAGCAGGAGACGAGAGACAAGCAGCAGGAGACGAGAGACAAGCAGCAGGAGACGAGAGACA